CCUGUAAACCUCCUUGAGCAUACAAUUGUCUUUGCAUCUUCAAGAGUAUUGUGGGCACACUAUUCCCUCUGGAGUCGUAAGAAAGCUGCAUGGAUUCAGUUGAAACCCCAAAAACAGUUGCACUACAGAUAAGAGGCAAUUAGUCAAUACUAGACAAUAGCUCAGGCUGUUACACUGAGUCAGACAGAAGAAACAAUCUCUACAUCUCUGAAAUACUUGUAAAGACAUAGAAAUACGUCCAAUUAGCUUAGUAAUCUUUCUAUAACAAUACGCAGAUACAAAUUUAUAUCAGCUGAUGAUAUAUUGCACAUACAUAAAUACAAGUUACUUGUGACAUUAGAGAGAAAAUAAAAUCAAAACGAGUCAACAAAAAAUAACACACACAAAAAUAACUACAUCUAUUCUAGUGCAACCUACAUGAAUGAACUCUACGGUAUGAAGGCUGAUGUGGGAGAUGGAUCUGUUAUUAUAUAAGGAUUAGCAGCAGUCAUUUAUCAUCACGAAAUGAAAAAGUCACCCAAUCACCUAUGUCCAUGAAAUAGACAUUUAUUUCACAGCCUCUUGAACAUCGAUAGGUGACUCAACAAAGUGAGAAUGUGUGAAAAACACGGACGAGUACUUGUUGUGGACAUAGUGGUGUUAUCAAGAAGGCAUGGCUCAUUAUUAUCACAAUGCCUCCUUAUUGUAAGCAGAGAAGGAAUUGUAUUUCCCGAACAGACAAAUGAAGAUCCUGUAUGAGCUGGCCAUGAUAUGGGGAGAAAGUGGACAAAGUCGCAAGAUUACAAAUGGUUUACAAGGAAAGACAAUAUUCAAUCUCCGAAGGUGACUUAAAACCAAGGUUUCAGAUAUGAAUUUCAACAGAUUUUACCAAUUUAAUUAUUGCAUAAUCAAAUAAUGCUAAUCCAGCUGCAAAUUAAGAUUUGACCCUAUGGCAUUAAGCAAGUCAGCAAACGAAAAAGACAUCAACAAAAACAAGAAAAACUGUAAAUUAGAUGAAGGUAAUACAGAGAAGUUUCCUCUGAUAUAUUAAUUACGAAGAUGAAGGAAGAUAUGAAGCAAUUACAAUAACUAGAGGAUUUCAAAUUUUAGGGGAGGGGGGUCGAGUGGGAAAGAUGGUGCAACAAUAAUUACAAAUUCAAAUUUGAGCCUGAAGAAGAGCAUGGGAAAUCCAUGCUUUGCCAAAGCUUGCAUUAAAUAAAACUUGUUAAAAAAAAUAAUAAAAAUAAACUCAAAUUUACAUUCUACCAAAAAGGAUAACUGAUGCUGUAUGGAAGCUGGACAUUGAAGCAAAAGAAAUACUAGGGGCCAUAGCAAAGCAAUCAAAUUUUGGUGACAAUUAGGAAUACAAAAUUGAAAUUUGAGAUUGGUUUUGUAAUCCCAACCCCAUUCCUAAACAAUUCAAGACAGACUGAAGAGUCAUCCCAAGUAAUUCAAGAAAAAGACAGACCAAACCAUAAAUCUCAACAAACAUAGAAAGCAAGCAAUUCACCACAAAAACUGCAACAGAAAUCUCAAAAUGUCCCAAAAUGGAAAGCAAAGAAAGUUCCCUUCCAAAACUGAC
RNAcentral lists this unclassified non-coding RNA (1561 nucleotides) under Hevea brasiliensis (rubber tree). Lineage: Eukaryota; Viridiplantae; Streptophyta; Magnoliopsida; Malpighiales; Euphorbiaceae. The record is from RNAcentral.